Molecule: long non-coding RNA, 4403 nt
Filed under: Sus scrofa (pig)
Lineage: Eukaryota; Metazoa; Chordata; Mammalia; Artiodactyla; Suidae
Description: lncRNA (ENSSSCG00000056103.1)
Source: RNAcentral
AUAUUAGGUAAAAAUUUUGUGAAUCACUUCCAGGUCUGGCCCAUUAGAUCUUCUGUCCUCCACCCUUCUUUUGUCCCUCAGCUGGAUGUCAGUUCACAAGGAAACAUUAGAAGAUCCUGUUUUUAAGAAGAAGAAAUAACCAUCAGUAUGAGAAACUUGGUAACUGAAAAUUCCUAAUUAUCUACCUUUCUGUCCACUUAAGCCAAUCGGACUUAAGUUAUUAUAAAACAAAUAUCUAUUGUGUAAAACCAAUGAAAAUUUGGGAUAUUUUUAAUAGUACAAGUAUCAUUACUCUGAUGCAGAAAUCAUUGCAAGAAGGAUGCUAAUGUAACAAAAAUCUAAAAUACUUUGCAUUGAUCUACCAUGCAGUCAAGAUGGAAACUAAUAUCCAGGGCUAGAAAACAAGAUUUGUGCAUACAGUGACAAAAACUUUUAAGUGGCCAUUUAUAAUUACAUGAAAAUCCAACCACAUGCUUACUGAACUCAUAGCCCUAAGGGAAGAGACUGGAGAAUGAAAUGUUGGUAGUCAGUGUUGAUUUCUAGCAUCUGCAUUUAUCAAGGAGAUAGAAAAUUAGAAAUGGGAUAUAGCAAAAAUUUAUUAGCUUGCAAGCAGUAAAAACAGAAAGUAAAAGGAUGGAAAAGCCAUGGCUUCUAGACCCAAUAAUAAGAGAUUAUGAGCAAAGGUCCACUAAGACUUCUAGCUAAGACCUAAGAAAAGAUGUGACAUUUCCCCCUAAACAUGAUAGCUUUAAGCCACAUUGGCCAAGGAGUUAAAAAAUAAGGUAGGCUUGAGAGUUAUAUUUCAAAAAGAACUUUGGGGGAUGCUAUUAGCAUGUGUAACUGAAUAGAUAAUUUUCCCUCAAAACCAGUAAUCUACUUAUUUAUAAUGCCAAAGUAAUUACAAGCCUGGACUUCAGUAUCCUGCAAAUGUUCUAUCAUUAUGAGUAUUUGGGGGCUCCCAAACUUGCUCAGGAAAGAGAUGGGUUGCAAAAACUAAAGGCCCACAAGGAGGGCACAGAUCCUAUCAUUUAUUUCAAAUACAGUCAGUACACUAAAAAACCUCUAAAAGGGUAGGUCCAGAGCUAGGAAGAACAUUGAAUAAGUAUCUCCUUUCAGAUAGAAAAAUUGAAAUCAGGAAAAUGUCCCACUGCUGGAUAAGAGGGGCUUCAAAAUGCCUGCCAGAAGGAUAUCAUAACUACUAUAGACCAGUGCAUUGUGUGUUUCCCAUGUUCCCUUUGCCAGAUAGCAGUUUUUGUUAUAAAUCUGUACAUGAGUUGGGCCUAGUGGUAGUGGGGAGACAUUUGUAACUUGUGUUGUUAGUGCAAGUGUAACCGGAACCUCAAGUACCCAUAUCAAAAACUGAUGGAAAGAACCAUGCAUCAUUUGGAAAUCUUGGACUUUGAGCUGGUUACAAUAACUAGAUGGAAUUUUGGAUUGUCUCACUUGGGGAAGGAGGGAGUGUGCUCUGUGUGGUGAGGCAUCUGGUAACUAGCAAACAUACUGUGUUAGAAACUGGCUAAGUGUUUCUUUUGCUUAGGUACCUGGCUAAAUUACACUUCCCAGUCUUCUCAAAAUUGGAAAAUAACAGCCAAUUGAAUAUGGGUAAAAGUGAUUAUAUGAUUUUUCCCUACCCCAUGAAACUUUCUAGCAAAUCAUCCACAUUUCUUUCCUUGUUUUCCAGUUAGCUGUUGAUAUCUUGGGCAAUCUUGCAAAACAGGUUUUGAAGAUGGGGAUACCCCACAUGGUUGCAUUGAACGAAUGCCCCCAACACUAGCCAGCCGCUAUUGAACUUUAUACAAACAAGAAAUAAGUAUUUGGCUAUGUCACUGAGAUGUAGGGUAUUUAUCUGUUCCAGCUAAUACUCCUAAAUGAGUAUUGAUCUAUUGCUUUUUUUUAAUCUCUGGGUCAUUCUUUCUCUACGGAUUUGAAAUCUCACCAUAUAAUCCCAGCAUUAUUCCCAGGCUCGCUCUCUCCUGCUUAUCUGGUUCUCUGAUCAAAUAAUACAUUUUAAAUUAAAAUUUUUUAAAUGUAGACACCUAGUAGCCUGGUUUACUUGUCUUUUUUUUUUUCCCCCUCAGAUUUUUCUUAGCAAGUCUUAUGUCUUUUUGUUAGAAACAAAUUUUAAAAGUAGCUUGUAAAUUUUAUUUUAAAAAAUUGUCUUAGUUUAUUAAUAUUGAUUACUCUUACCUGGGAGGUAUUCGUAUUUCAAAUAUUUCUCAUUGUUCUCUGAUUGCAAAAAAUAGUGACUAUGCUUCCAUUAAUGGGCCUAAAUUACAGAAUUAUAGAAGAAAUGACAUGAACAGGAGCAAGUUCAGUAGCCUAAGUGUGACAUCAUCAUGAAGAAAUUAAGUAGCCUUAAGUCAGAUACUGGAAUGUUGUUUGUACUUUGAACAUGUGUUUCUCCUCAAGGGAAAACUUGUUUUGAAAGAAAGUCAUUCUCCAUGUUGUUUUCAGGAUAUAAUUAAAAGGAUAUUUUUCGGUAAAGAUAGCCAAAAGUUAGAGGGCGCAUGAACGGAGAAGUGUUAUUUGUUUUAUUUUUUAACCAAACAUGGUAUAAAUAUUCAUUGUUUCACUGAGCUCUCUCAGUUAUGGACAGAAGUUCACAUAUACUAACAACAACCAGUUUAGCUCAAGUCUGAAAUAAGUGUGAACUACCUCUGAAAAGAAAAAAACCAAACAUUUUUUUUUUAAAUCAUAGUCACCACCUGUGAUAAAGGAGAGGUUUGCAGGCCCUAUCACAUUUUUAAGGUUUUGAAGUGCUAUAAUUGCAUUAUCAGUGCUUAGAAUUUUCUUACUUUAGUGCUUGCAUUUAUAUUCUCCACUUUGAUAUCUGCAAGGCUCCCUUUCUCAGUUUUACAGGUCUCUGCUCAAAUGUAGCUUAAUAGGGAGGGCUUCUUUGAUCUCCUUAGAAAACAUCAACUAGUUAUUCCUCCCUCUUUGCUUGAUUUUUCUUCUGUGAUACAUUCAUAAAAGUACAUAGUAAGUUCCUGUUAAAUAUUUGCUUUUAAAAUACAUAUUCCAUAAAUAUUUGAAUAAAUAUUAUUUUGUAUAAGUAAUCAUGAAUAUAUACAAGUUUUUUUCAGUAUAUCAAUGACUCAUAUGGUUGAAUACCUGCAGCUACCAGUUAGGAAGGAGGCUAUUAGAAUAACCCAGGUGAGUGACAGGAUUGCUCGGACUUGGAGAGUAGCCGUGGAGAGAGAGAAUAGGAGAAAAGGUGAUGUUUGAUUAUAGAGGAGAAAUUAUGACUUAGUCCUGAGGAAAUGUAUGAGAAUAAUUUAAAGAAUAAAAAGUAGGUUUACUAGGCAGCAUUAGGAACUCAUUUGGAGUUUACUGUGAUUAAAGUGAGAAUAAUUUGCAUAGCUAUUUGUAUUUUGUAUUUUCAUUUUCUAUGACCUGGAGUGUUUUUUGGAGGGUGGAGGUUGCCACACCCCUGGCCUGGGGAAGUUCUUGGGCAGGAAUCGAAACUGCACCACAGCAGCAACCAGAGCCACAGCAGUGAUAAUGCCAGAUCUUUAACUGCUAAGCCACUAGGGAACUCCUCUAUGAUCUGGUUUUGACCAAAUUUAUUUGGGGCUUUUAGUCUUUUUGCUACUGGUUGGUCGAGUUCUUCAUAUGUUAAUGAAAUAAGCCCUGUGCCUACCAUGAUUUGCAAAGAAUUUUCAUUUUGUCAUUUGUUUUUGGAUUUUUUUUUUCCCAGUAAGAUGUUUGAUUUUUUUUUUUUUUUUUAAUGUUGUAAAUGAUAUCUAGAAGUUGCCUGGUGGCUCUGGGGAUUAAGAAUCCAGUGUCAUGGCCAUGGCACAGAUUCUGUCCCUGGCCCGGGAACUUCCACAUCCCAUUGGUAUGGCCAAAAAGUAAUAAUAAUAAUAAUAAAAAUAAUCAAUGAAAUAAAUAGAUGAUGUUUAAUCUUUAACCUCCUAGCUGGUUAUUGUUGGUAUAUGUGAAGGCUAGAAUUGUUACUGGCAUUUUUCUUAGCCACCUCAUAAAACUUUUUAAUAGUUACUCUACAAUUUCUCUUACAUCGUCUCAGGUUCAGAAUUGUAUCUUCUUAAGAUAAUGAUCAUUUCAUUUGCUCCUAAUUUUUGUAAUUGUAUUUCUCUUACCUAAGUAGAAUGGCUAGUGCUUCCAAUGCAACAUAAAAUAAUAACACUGAAAAUGGACCUCCUUGUCUCAUUUUAUUAAUGGGAAUGCUUCUAGUGGUGCUACUCAAGCAUGAAAUUGACUUUUAGAUUUAGAUAGAUAUGUUUUAUGAAUUUAUAAUCUAUUCUUCUUAAUAAGGGAUAUUUUUAAAAAUCAAGAAUGAACAUUCCCUCUUGGCACAGUGGGUUAAGGAUCCAGCGCUGUUACUGCAGCAGCUUGGGUUGCUGCUGUGGCUUGGGUUCACUCCCUGGCCUGGUAACUUCCAC